Molecule: ribosomal RNA, 251 nt
Filed under: uncultured bacterium
Lineage: Bacteria
Description: partial 16S ribosomal RNA
Rfam family: Bacterial small subunit ribosomal RNA
Source: RNAcentral
ACGGAAGGUCCGGGCGUUAUCCGGAUUUAUUGGGUUUAAAGGGAGCGUAGGCCGUCUGUUAAGCGUGUUGUGAAAUGUCGGGGCUCAACCUGGGCAUUGCAGCGCGAACUGGCAGACUUGAGUGCGCAGGAAGUAGGCGGAAUUCGUCGUGUAGCGGUGAAAUGCUUAGAUAUGACGAAGAACUCCGAUUGCGAAGGCAGCCUGCUGUAGCGUAACUGACGCUGAAGCUCGAAAGCGUGGGUAUCGAACAG